UCGAGAAUUUUCCGCAAUGGGCGCAAGCCUGACGGAGCGACGCCGCGUGGAGGAAGAAGGCCUUCGGGUUGUAAACUCCUGUCGAGACUUAAGAAUGCAUCGGACAUAACAAUCCGGUGUCGACGAAGGGUCUGGAGGAAGCCACAGCUAACUUCGUGCCAGCAGCUGCGGUAAGACGAAGGUGGCAAGCGUUGUUCGGAUUCACUGGGCAUAAAGGGCGCGUAGGCGGUUCGGUAAGCGGCGUGUGAAAGCCCCUGGCUCAACCAGGGAAGUGCACGCCGGACUGCCGUUCUAGAGGGUGGUAGGGGGGACUGGAACUCUCGGUGGAGCGGUGAAAUGCGUAGAUAUCGAGAGGAACACCGGUGGCGAAGGCGAGUCCCUGGUCCACUUCUGACGCUGAGGCGCGAAAGCGUGGGUAGCAAACAGG
RNAcentral lists this ribosomal RNA (427 nucleotides) under uncultured bacterium. RNAcentral's name for it is "bacterial SSU rRNA". It matches the Rfam family "Bacterial small subunit ribosomal RNA", at positions 355 to 776 of the family's 1533-position model. The record is from RNAcentral.